RNAcentral lists this unclassified non-coding RNA (398 nucleotides) under Cachrys libanotis. RNAcentral's name for it is "partial external transcribed spacer". The record is from RNAcentral. Lineage: Eukaryota; Viridiplantae; Streptophyta; Magnoliopsida; Apiales; Apiaceae.
CGCAUGAGCAAUAGGACAGAUACCAUCCUAGAGUCCACCCGGGCACGCCAGGCUUCUGUAAGGGACAAUUGAUUCGGGCAAAAAAGGGACAAGGACCCCAACCGAUCAUGCUUCUACAUACAAGACUUCGAGCGACACUUGGGCGUCCGACGCCUGCAAGCCACAUAGGCGAAGGAAGGGCGGACGUCCAUGGGUGCUUCAGGGUCUACAUCGCACAAAACAUUUUCGCACGAGAUAGAGUAGGGACCGCGGGACUAGAGAAUUCCGUCAAAACAGGUAUGCUGCACAGGGGGCCAAGCCUAUCCAAGGCGAGAUAUUUAGCACUCGGACAGAAUUGAACAGGUGUGAACCAGCGGUUGUCGCUACCGGGGCAGGGAACCAACCAACCGGAACAUACC